CCUACGGGAGGCAGCAGUGAGGAAUAUUGGUCAAUGGUCGGGAGACUGAACCAGCCAAGCCGCGUGAGGGAUGAAGGUACAGAGUAUCGUAAACCUCUUUUGUCAGGGAACAAAGGCGGGGACGUGUCCCCGGAUGAGUGUACCUGAAGAAAAAGCAUCGGCUAACUCCGUGCCAGCAGCCGCGGUAAUACGGAGGAUGCGAGCGUUAUCCGGAUUUAUUGGGUUUAAAGGGUGCGCAGGCGGUCUGUUAAGUCAGCGGUCAAAGCACGGGGCCCAACCCCGGCCCGGCGGUGGAACUUGGCAGUCUUGAGUUGGAGAGAAGUAUGCGGAAUGCGCGGUGUAGCGGUGAAAUGCAUAGAUAUCGCGCAGAACUCCGAUUGCGAAGGCAGCAUGCCGGCUCCACACUGACGCUGAGGCACGAAAGCGUGGGUAUCGAACAGGAUUAGAUACCCUAGUAGUC
This 460-nucleotide ribosomal RNA is filed under the name uncultured bacterium. Its description in RNAcentral is "partial 16S ribosomal RNA". It matches the Rfam family "Bacterial small subunit ribosomal RNA", at positions 338 to 795 of the family's 1533-position model. The record is from RNAcentral.